GGGAUUGCCUCAGUAACGGCGAGUGAAGCGGCAACAGCUCAAAUUUGAAAUCUGGCCCUUUCGGGGUCCGAGUUGUAAUUUGUAGAGAGUGCUUCGGGCGAGGCCUCGGUCUAAGUCCAUUGGAACAUGGUGUCAUAGAGGGUGAGAAUCCCGUAUGCGACCGUGGCUCGAGCCCAUGUGAAGCCUCUUCGACGAGUCGAGUUGUUUGGGAAUGCAGCUCAAAAUGGGUGGUAAAUUUCAUCUAAAGCUAAAUACUGGCUGGAGACCGAUAGCGCACAAGUAGAGUGAUCGAAAGAUGAAAAGCACUUUGGAAAGAGAGUCAAACAGUACGUGAAAUUGUUGAAAGGGAAGCGCUUGCAACCAGACCUGCCCGUAGGCGAUCAGCCGCUGUUUUCAGCGGUGCACUCGCUCUGCGAUCAGGCCAGCAUCGGUUUCGGCGGUCGGAUAAAGGCCUUGGGAAUGUAGCUCCCCUCCGGGGGAGUCUUAUAGCCCUCGGUGCAAUGCGGCCAGCCGGGACCGAGGACCGCGCUUCGGCUAGGAUGCUGGCGUAAUGGUUGUAAGCGACCCGUCUUGAAACACGGACCAAGGAGUCUAACAUCUAUGCGAGUGUUUGGGUGUCAAACCCAUGCGCGGAAUGAAAGUGAACGGAGGUGAGAACCCUUAAGGGCGCAUCAUCGACCGAUCCAGAUGUCUUCGGAUGGAUUUGAGUAUGAGCAUAGCUGUUGGGACCCGAAAGAUGGUGAACUAUGCCUGAAUAGGGUGAAGCCAGAGGAAACUCUGGUGGAGGCUCGCAGCGGUUCUGACGUGCAAAUCGAUCGUCAAAUUUGGGUAUAGGGGCGAAAGACUAAUCGAA
This 853-nucleotide ribosomal RNA is filed under the name Xanthoparmelia aff. delisei MAF 7432. RNAcentral's name for it is "eukaryotic LSU rRNA". It matches the Rfam family "Eukaryotic large subunit ribosomal RNA", at positions 71 to 939 of the family's 3401-position model. The record is from RNAcentral. Lineage: Eukaryota; Fungi; Ascomycota; Lecanoromycetes; Lecanorales; Parmeliaceae.